Molecule: long non-coding RNA, 351 nt
Filed under: Glycine max (soybean)
Lineage: Eukaryota; Viridiplantae; Streptophyta; Magnoliopsida; Fabales; Fabaceae
Description: long non-coding RNA (GMAX_LNC003465)
Source: RNAcentral
UUUGCAGCUUGCCUCACAAUGUAGGCACCACUCCUAUCAACCUUGGUAGGAUCCUUCCCAGAGAAGGCACCACCACCAUGUGCACCCCAUCCUCCAUAGGUGUCGAUGAUGAUCUUGCGGCCGGUGAGACCAGCAUCGCCAUGCGGCCCUCCAAUGACAAACCUGCCAGAAGGGUUCAAAUGGAAAAUGGUCUUCUCAUCAAGGUACUUCUCAGGAAUCACAGGCUUAAUCACGUGUUCUUUAAGAUCAGCUGCAAUCUCAUCAUUUGUGACAGUCUCAUCAUGCUGUGUGGAGAUGAGCACAGUGUGGACGCGGAUUGGAACCAUGGCACCCUUGUCAUUGUAGUACUCA